Molecule: long non-coding RNA, 3636 nt
Organism: Amphibalanus amphitrite
Lineage: Eukaryota; Metazoa; Arthropoda; Thecostraca; Balanomorpha; Balanidae
Exons: 5
Source: RefSeq, a predicted model, not a curated record
GCAAAUACAGAAAAAUGAUACAGACAUAAAAGCUGUAGAAUGGACAGGGCUACAAAACUGCUAUCUCGGAUUUUUGAAAUUUUUGGAUUUUGACCCCCAAAAAUCAAAAAAUAGAUUUUUUGAAUCUAAUAGCCAAAAAAUCCAAAAAGUUUUUUGAAUUUCGAAAAAACCGGAAUAUAUGUGAUAGUCCUUACCACCUUCUAUCUACAUACCAAAUUUGAGAUCGAUACCUCUUUUUUUGGCCAAGUUAUAGCGAAAAAACUGUUCAAAAUUGAUGACGUCAAAUUUUCAAACUCAAUUUGCAGCAAUUCUAGACCUCGUAGCGCAAAACAAAGACCACCAUUAGACUCCCCGUGACGAGCUGCAUCGAAUCAAUACCCAUUUUAUGCAAAAAUAUCAACUUUGAAAUUUGACCUUUUUUGACCUGACCUUGACCUGACCUCGACCAGAAAGUGACCUAAACCGUACCUGAUGGUCUUAUAACCAACACCAUUGAGUUGGAAAUGAAAAACUGGCCAUAAAACAUGCAUCGCAUAACCUUAGUAAAGUUGGGUUCAUGUGGUGACCCUUGGUGACCUUUGGUGACCUGACCUGUGACCUGACCUGGUAUGACCAGUGACCUCUAACAGCAACAUAUCUACUAGGCAACUGACGCCCUAUCGCUGAUUCCCGACAAAAUGCGUUUUCCUCGGUGUUAUAGCGCAUUCCCUAGAAGACCCGUGAACGGUGAAACAUUUCAUCUUUGACCUGACCUGUGACGUCAUCGGUGACCCCGAGGUCAAUAAAAUUUGGUUUCCCUCGACAAAUUUGACAGGCCUUUCGAACGCCGUUUGAAUUUUUCGGAUCCGUCCAGUAGUUUCGGAGAUACGAGGGGGGGCAAAAAAUAGCCCCCCCCCCCCCACCAGGUCGCGUUAUAAACAGACCCCACCAGGGCGCGGGUUAAUGAGAUCGGGCUGCUCUGUGACGCUCUCGCCGGUCUCAACCUAUCUCCCCUCGAGCGCGCUGCUUACCGGGCUAUUUUCCCGCUAGCCUUCUUUGCCCUGCUGCGGCCAGGCGAAGUCGUGGCCGGCAGGUCAGUGGCGCACACUCUGCGUCUCGGCGGCGUUUGCAUCAAUGCCUCUGAACUCUCUGUCACGAUCCCGUCCUCCAAGACGGCCGCCGCUCCCCAGGUCAUCUCCCUCACCGCGCGGCCUGACAUCAGCGUGUGUCCCGUCGCCGCGCUCCGUGCAUACUUAUCUCUGCGCGGCGUCGGGCGGCCGCAGGACCCCCUGUUCAUCGGUGACUGUCAGCGCCCGGUAACAGCCCCGGCCCUCACGCGGGUUCUCCGCUUAGCGGGUCGCGCGAUCGGACUCGAUGUAGCUCGCCUUUCCGGCCACUGUCUCCGUAUCGGAGGCGCGUCCCAUGGCGCCUCGGUCGGCAUGUCUGAACUGCAGCUGUGUCAGGCGGGACGCUGGUCUUCCCGUGCCGUCCGCCGCUACGUGCGUCAGCCUGUCUCCGUCCUCCAGGCGACCUAAACUACCGGAGGUCGCGCUCGGCGAGCCCGUGCCACGCCCCCUGAUAACCCAGACGCCGUUAUUCCGGCCGCCGUUCGUGUUCGCGGUCGCUCGCAUAGCCCAGAUUCAGUGCUCGGACUGCCCGUUUACGUUCCACCCUGUGCGACCACUGCCCUCGUGGCGGAGCGGCAGCCUUCGCUGCCUGUUUGAUGGUCCAGUAGGAUGGUCCGCCGCCUCCGGCGGAGCGGGAGUCACGCCCAAGGUGUCUCACCAUCUUGGUCCUCUGCCUCGGUGCGUGCAUCUCCGACGUGGCGUGUCUGUCGGUGCUUGUGUGUUUUCCCUUUUUGUUUUGUUUUAGUUUUUUUUUUGCCCGCUGCCUGUUAUCGGGCCGGCAGCGAUCCCCCGCGUCGUGCGUAGCGGUGGCCGGCGGCCGUUUCGGGGCCGCUAACUGGACCGCCGCCUACAUGCGGAGCGGCAGCCCCGCUGCCUGUUUUGUGGUCCAGCUCGUCGGCCCCCCACGCCCCUCGGCGUAGCGGUCGCCGGCUGCCUGUUUUAGGGUCGCUACCGGCCGCCGCCCCUGGCGGAGCAGCAGACGGUCGCUAACCGGUGUUCCACAGGCCGUAAUGUUCAUCGUUCAUAUAUAUGUGGCACGCAACCUAUUAUCCCUUUCUGUUAGAACCGUAUUCUCCGCCGCCUCCGGUCUCGGGUGGGGGAGAUGGGCGGUUACCCUCGCCCAAAGACAUGAGUGGAGGGGCACCAGUCCAAUACAUUGACCCGUGACCACCAACGAUGUCUUUGCGAGCGCAAGCGGACGGAGAAAUGCACGUUUGGCUCGACUAGCCGCAACAGCGGCGGUCGGGCCAACGACCUUUCUCUGGCUGCGAGCGAGCGCCAUCCAGCGCCAUCUACGCAGCCGGGUGCGGCGCGCGUCAGUGUGCGUCAGCUCGCGUCGACGAGCGCACGCGAGUGUUUUACCGCCGCCACCCCGCCACCGCCGCGUUACAUGUCCCAUUUCUCCAUGUGAGUGUUUCCCUUGGCUAUGUAUUGGUCUCGUGUGUACGGCGGUUACCCUCGCCCAAAGACAUGAGUGGAGGGGCACCAGUCCAAUACAUUGACCCGUGACCACCAACGAUGUCUUUGCGAGCGCAAGCGGACGGAGAAAUGCCUGUGCGCCUGCGACACUCACACUGCAAAGCGAGGCAAACAGAAAGCAGCUCUUCAUGUGGCAGCAGCCAUCUUGCAGAGAGAGAGGUGUUUCUGCUCCUUUGGGAUUCCGAAGCUGCAAAACGUCGUCGCCACCAUCCCGAAGCCUGCCAAGUGUCCAAAUGGAACAGUUUCAGAGGCAUACAUCAAACAAUAUAGUGAUCGGAUCAUAAAGCAAUUCUGCGAUGGCGUCAAAGCAGACGAUGGAGAGAAUGUCACAUUCCCUGGUGGAAUAGGAAAGUACUCUGUCGACAGUGCAGGUCCUUUUGCUAGUUACUCGACCAUCGGAAGAUCUUUUUCGCAUCUCACUUUUCUUGCAUCGGCAAAAGAACAUAAGGCGAUGUAUCGCGGAAAUUACACCGUAACUCGUCACCAAAAGGAAGGCGUCGCCGGAAAUGGUCAGCGAGUGCUGCUAGAAAAAGAUGUGUUCCCGAGAAUGUUCCGUCUACGAAUCAUCACGGCCGAGAAGUACCACUGGAAAGAGGGAGUCGCCGUUCUCAGUUACUUUGAAACUAGCACAGGUAUGCGUGCUUUUGAGCCAGCUAAAACGGGAAAAUAAGCCACGCAUGGUGCGAUAGGCUAUCGGUGAUAUGGUGACCGUUGUAUGACCCAGCGCCACCCUACACAGCCCCUCCGACGGGCAGUGCCCUCUGUAGCUCAUCGGCAGCUCUGAGUUCACACUGUUUCACGCCCAUUGGCUGAGUCAUGGACUUCAAUACAUACCGAGGACCAUGGCAGGGGGAUCAUUAUCGUGACUCGUGAGUCUUGCGUGGUGUUGCGAGGUGGAUGUUUCAUAAAGUUGUAGCCUUUUGGUACCAUUACACGGAAAGUCCGUUCCAUUUUUCGAUCUCGCGAAUACUUCUAUGAUGCAAUAUUUAUGUAGGGAUGCUUUUGUAAACAUGAAUGACUCGAACAAAAUAAAGACGGCAAUAAAAAUGUA